GUGGAUGAGGCAUGCAAGUCGAACGCAAUUAGGUAGCAAUAUCUGAUUGAGUGGCGGAAGGGUUAGUAAUACAUGGGCAACCUGCCUUUAACCUGGGGAUAACAGUUGGAAACGACUGCUAAUACCGAAUGAGGUGCUAACGGGGGAUCCUGAAAGCAUCAAAGUGGGGGAUCGCAAGACCUUGCGGUUAAAGAGGGGCCCAUGGGAUAUCAGCUAGUUGGAGUGGUAAUGGCACACCAAGGCUAAGACGUCUAGGCGGAUUGAGAGAUUG
This 271-nucleotide ribosomal RNA is filed under the name uncultured Chlamydiales bacterium. RNAcentral's name for it is "partial 16S ribosomal RNA". It matches the Rfam family "Bacterial small subunit ribosomal RNA", at positions 44 to 302 of the family's 1533-position model. The record is from RNAcentral. Lineage: Bacteria; Pseudomonadati; Chlamydiota; Chlamydiia; Chlamydiales.